RNAcentral lists this ribosomal RNA (984 nucleotides) under Triticum aestivum (bread wheat). RNAcentral's name for it is "partial small subunit ribosomal RNA". Lineage: Eukaryota; Viridiplantae; Streptophyta; Magnoliopsida; Poales; Poaceae. The record is from RNAcentral.
AUGGCUGAGAAAGAACAUGAUGGUAGUGGGGAAAUGCAGCAGAAAUCAGUCGAGCAUGAUGUGGCAGAGCUUGAGGCGCGAAGCCUGUGCAAUCAACAUGGUUCAGUUGUGGAUGUGAAGGAAGGAGAUCAUGCCGAUGACAGCAACAGAAAGAUAACAAAGUUCUCUGACUGGAUCAGUCCGAAACCAAAGGAGAAGUGGUCACUGGCAUACGAUCGAGAUGGAGCAAGGUAUGGCAUCAUGGGCAGUGAUACAACUGAUGCAUAUAAGAACGACCCUGUAUUGAAAGGGAUAACAUGCCUUCCGCUCAGUGCGAUAGUGGAGGUGACAUUCCUGCGCUUGGUAGAGUACUUCCAAAACACAAGUGUCGCAGCAAACAAAGCGAUCGGCAACCCGAUAAUUAACUUCCCUGAACAUGUCCAGGUUGACCUGAAUUCCAAAAUGCAGAAAUCCGAGACGCAUAGACUUAUGUACACAUACGCCGAUGAAAAGAAUUAUCUUGGUAAGGUAGUGGAUCAAAAAUUUACAGUCAAGGGAAGGAAGAGGGAGGUGACUGUUCACCUGAAGACGGACUAUAUCGUUGGCAUUAAUAAGUCUAAAGGAUGCACAAUUCGGAAAACUGCCACCUGUUCAUGUGGCAAGCCACAGGUACUUCACAAGCCUUGCUCUCAUGUCAUUGCGGUCUGUUGUGAGAUUGGGGUUAGCACUGCUACAUACAUGUCCCCAUACUACAGCCUGCCCUAUCUAGGUAGGACCUGGAGGCAAAAAUUCAAUAAGUUCUCUCAUGACUACAGAGAUACCAUACCACACUGCUUCAGAGGUAUCAUACCAUUUGAAGGUGAAGCACAAACUUGGAUCCCAGACAAGAGAUUAGAGUGUGGCCUUCCUGUUUAUCUGUCGCCGGACUGCGCACAAACUGUCGUGCUCGAGGAAGAGCAUUGCAGAACUGAAGAUGGAGCAGUUGCAGGCAAUGAUGAAACCUAG